AUACGGAGGAUCCGAGCGUUAUCCGGAUUUAUUGGGUUUAAAGGGAGCGUAGGUGGACAGUUAAGUCAGUUGUGAAAGUUUGCGGCUCAACCGUAAAAUUGCAGUUGAUACUGGUUGUCUUGAGUACAGUAGAGGUGGCGGAAUUCGUGGUGUAGCGGUGAAAUGCUUAGAUAUCACGAAGAACUCCGAUUGCGAAGGCAGCUCACUGGACUGCAACUGACACUGAUGCUCGAAAGUGUGGGUAUCAAACAGGAUUAGAUACCCUGGUAGUCCACACAGUAAACGAUGAAUACUCGCUGUUUGCGAUAUACAGUAAGCGGCCAAGCGAAAGCAUUAAGUAUUCCACCUGGGGAGUACGCCGGCAACGGUGAAACUCAAAGGAAUUGACGGGG
RNAcentral lists this ribosomal RNA (392 nucleotides) under uncultured bacterium. RNAcentral's name for it is "partial 16S ribosomal RNA". It matches the Rfam family "Bacterial small subunit ribosomal RNA", at positions 523 to 918 of the family's 1533-position model. The record is from RNAcentral.